GUCGAGGGGCAGCAUAGGACUUCGGUUCUGAUGGCGGCCGGCGCACGGGUGAGUAACGCGUACACUACCUACCUUUAACAGAGGGAUAGCCCUGGGAAACUGGGAUUAAUACCACAUAGUAUUGCAUAUUUUAUUUUUAUGCAAUUAAAGCUCCGGCGGUUAAAGAUGGGUGUGCGUUAGAUUAGCUAGUUGGUAAGGUAAUGGCUUACCAAGGCUACGAUCUAUAGGGGGCGUGAGAGCGUGGACCCCCACACGGGUACUGAGACACGGACCCGACUCCUACGGGAGGCAGCAGUAAGGAAUAUUGGACAAUGGGCGCAAGCCUGAUCCAGCCAUCCCGCGUGAAGGAUGACGGCCCUAUGGGUUGUAAACUUCUUUUAUUAGGGAAGAAACCUUUUCAUUUAUGAAGAGCUGACGGUACCUAAAGAAUAAGCACCGGCUGACUCCGUGCCAGCAGCCGCGGUAAUACGGAGGGUGCAAGCGUUAUCCGGAAUCACUGGGUUUAAAGGGUGCGUAGGCGGAUAAAUAAGUCAGAGGUGAAAGCUUUCCGCUUAACGGGGAAAUUGCCUUUGAAACUGUUUAUCUUGAAUUAUGUUGGAGGGUUAGCGGGAAUGUGACAUGGAGCGGUGAAAU
Molecule: ribosomal RNA, 633 nt
Filed under: uncultured bacterium
Lineage: Bacteria
Description: bacterial SSU rRNA
Rfam family: Bacterial small subunit ribosomal RNA
Source: RNAcentral